AGCCGAGGGCAUGGCACGUGAGACCAGAUGCUGCUGGUGGACCUGGCUGUCCUGCUCAUGUUCUCUGCCCCCAGGGAGGCUGGGCUGGAGCUGGGUGGCUGCAUGAUGUCCUCGCUCACCUCGGCGUAGGUAUAACAGGUGGUCUGAGUAUCCAGCAGCUGCAUCUUGACCAGUGUCUCCAGAAAGAACUUUGGACAGCUCGGUUGUUUGUGCUAACUCUACGGGGAUUCAAAUUUGAUCUCUUUUUCCUUCUUGUCUCUAGGUACUUUUAGGUUGAAAUAUGCCCCUCCAGCAGAAAGUCUGGACUCCACAGACUGAUCCUUUCCUCUGGCAACAGAACACUAUUAAGCCAUGGAGACAUAAGGAAAUUAUAUACAAGACUGAGAAGUCUAGUUGCUGUUGAGCUUAAUAUUUUUAAUCCAAAGGUGCUUUACUUUACUAGACUGGAUAGAAAACCUAGAGUAGGAGUGCAUCAAACUCAGUUUUAUUGCCAAAAUCCUAGAUUGGAGCUUGACGUCAGGACUCGCCUGGUUGGUGCCUCCGCCGUGCUCGCGAUGCAAAGACCUCCGUCUCCUGAGGAGCGUUGCCGUCCUCGGCCCUUCCAGGCUCGCACGUAAUUCCAGGGCAGCUACGCAAGAUCGGACUCGAGUACUGAGGGCCGGAGUUCCCCGCGUGGAGUCCCGCCAGUCGGACUCUGCUUACCCCUGGGAUUGCACUACAGAAGAAUGUAAACUGAUGCCAGGCUCUGCGGUUUUGGGAGACAGACUCCCUGAGACCAGUCAGUGCAAGACACUCGGAGAAUCUGCGUUAAAGGAGUUGGCACCAGCAGGCCGCGGGACUUGGUACAUGACAAAUGUCAGCGUCUCCUUCCCUCUUAAAACACUUGCAGAAGUUUCAGGUUUUUCUUUUUCUUUUUUUUUUUUUCUGCAAAUAAAUCUAAACUACGUUAUUAAAAAGAAAUAGUUAUUUGCAACAACUUAAUAUCUUAAGGGUCCAAGUCCCAGAGAAUCCCUAGUUGUCAGAGCUUUGAGAAUCCUUCCUUCCCGGCCUGUCAGUAGCGUGGAGUCUGGUCGUCUCCCUCCAGAACGGCGCUCUCGCCGGGACAUGGUAACCGCCCAGCCUUCGUGGGCUGGCUCCGAGGGACGCUACGACACCCUUAGCAAAGUUGGCAAGUUCUUUCAUGUCACACGGAUCUCCCAAGGACCCCAAGGCUGACUGCUAAUGGAUUCACACUGGAGACAGACAUUUCAACAGUGAUACAGUCCUGUAACUUAGGAGCAAAAGAUUUGAAACCUUCUCCUCCUGUCAACUUCUUUUGUACUAGGCUUUGUAUUAAUGGUUAGUUCUGCCACAAGUUACCUGGAAAAUUACGACAGAAAGUGGGAAGACUCUGAAAGAGGCCGCCCCAACAGGACAGAGCCACACCAUCUCCCCAAGUGUGGUUUGAGCCAGCGUGGGCCAGCAGUCCCCCCCCACAGCUCUCGGUUUCACCCCACUGCAAUGAACGUUGCUUGGUCUGAAAUGUAGGGACGCAGAUCUUCAAAGCUAAAGGGAAUUUUCUGCUCAAAUAAUAAUGUUGUUUGAAACACUAAAGCCUUCCAUAUUAAAAUAUUGAUCGGUUAGGCCUUGCCCAGGGAUUUUGCAGUUGAGUAUGUGUUUAAAAAAAAAAAAAAAGAAAAUUGUAAUAUUCUGACCGUUCUUAAAAUGGGACAAUCAGCCUCGUGCUGAAUUGGUGUAAAUCAAAAGAAUACCCUAGAAUUUGAGGCACUGUGAUAUGAGGCUUCAAAUUUUAUGAUCCGUUUCCUGGCUGCAGAGAAUCUAAAGCAGAGUUGUUACAUUUUUUAAUGAAAGGCUUUUAGUAGUUUUUUAGAGUUUUAUUUUAGUAGAGUUUCAUUUCUAUGCAAUGCAGAAUGGACAGACCUCUGUAUGCGUCUCUCUUCCCGGUGCACAGUAUUACGUAGUUUUGAAUCAAUGGUGAUGCUUGUGGCAACUUUUUGGGGGGAAUGUGACAUUGAUCUCUUAAUUGUAAACACUACAAAAUGUCAAAAUAACGAGAACUGACACAACUUUGCCUUAAAGAGUACGAGCCUGGAACUUAUCAUAUGAUGUUAGAGGAAGACUUGGGAGUGUCCACUGAUGUUUACGAUUUUAAUAUUUCUGAAGGCCGUUAUGGUGGCCUGGACAUGUGCUGAAAGCCAAACUUUUAAAUUUUUUGGUUUUUUUUAAAAAAGAAAUAUUUUAAAUAAAUCCUACUUCAACACA
Molecule: long non-coding RNA, 2262 nt
Organism: Suricata suricatta (meerkat)
Lineage: Eukaryota; Metazoa; Chordata; Mammalia; Carnivora; Herpestidae
Exons: 2
Source: RefSeq, a predicted model, not a curated record